UCGUAGUUGAAUUUGUGUCUUGCGCUGUCGGUUCAUCGCUGUUUGCGGUGUUUAACUGGCACGUUGUGAGACGUCUUGCCGGAAGGGCAUGGUAUAUGUUUUAUUUGUGUCUUCAUAAUAUGCACUAUAAUGAUUGAUUUUAUAUAGUUAAUAGCUAUAUUAAUUGAUUGUUAUUUGUUGUUUUAUUAUGUAUGGCCUGAUAAUAACGUAUACGUAGUCCGACUUUUUAAAAUCCUGUCUAGGUGCUCUUAACUGAGUGUCGUGGCGGGCCGGCACGUUUACUUUGAACAAAUUAGAGUGCUUAAAGCAGGCUUAUGUUGCCUGAAUAUAGUGUGCAUGGAAUAAUGAAACAGGACCUCGGUUCUAUUUUGUUGGUUUUCUGAACUGAACGAGGUAAUGAUUAAUAGGGACAGAUGGGGGCAUUCGUAUUGCGACGUUAGAGGUGAAAUUCUUGGAUCG
This 459-nucleotide ribosomal RNA is filed under the name Pentacomia rugipennis. RNAcentral describes it as "bacterial SSU rRNA". The stretch from base 161 to 459 matches the Rfam family "Eukaryotic small subunit ribosomal RNA", at positions 631 to 927 of the family's 1831-position model. The record is from RNAcentral. Lineage: Eukaryota; Metazoa; Arthropoda; Insecta; Coleoptera; Carabidae.